Eucalyptus grandis is the source of this 1115-nucleotide long non-coding RNA. RefSeq lists it as uncharacterized. The record is from RefSeq and is a predicted model, not a curated record. NCBI's taxonomy places the organism in Eukaryota, Viridiplantae, Streptophyta, Magnoliopsida, Myrtales, Myrtaceae. The transcript has 3 exons.
AAACUUUUUGGGUUGCUUUGAGAAGUUUGACUAUGAUAUAUGGAUGGCCUGCAGUUUCAUUCCAUUGUGGUGAUUUCCCUGAAUAGUGAAUUUCAUAAUGGAAAAGAUUUUUCUUUGGGUAUUUCCAAAUCAUGGUUUUACAUGUUUGGUUGCUGAAGCAGUUAGGUGUAGGAUCUUUAAUGGAGUGGAUAUAUCUCAUUAGAAAGUACUAUUCUUUAAAUUUUUUUAUCAGGACUACUGUCUGUCAGCACUGUUCUGGGACGUGUGGCAAAAUCAACUGUAGCUGUAAAUCCUGCAUGUACUCUGUGUUUCGAGACUCCAGUGUGAGUGUCUAAUUAGAUUCAUAAGAUCAGAACUUUCCUAAUUCAUCAUGUUCUACUGAAAUUUUAGGCUUAUCUUCCCUCCCACGAUCAAACUAAAGGAAUAACUUUCAGAAAUUGCAUAUCUUUUCAAUUCUUGGCUAUCAUAUUCCAAUGAUUUAUAGUUUCGUCUUCCUUUCCACUGUCAACAGCCGUCAUUAUGAUAAAGUCAUCAAGGCAAUCAAAGUGAAGGUUCUGGGUUCAGACAAGGAGUUCUUUCUACACCCUGCAACUGUGAGAAGGAACGUCUGUGAUGAAGUCACCAAGGCAAUCAAAGUUCGGGUGGUUGGACAGGAGUGAAAACUGCAGUAUUCUGAUGUACUGGAAGACAUCGAACCUGAAGAAAUUCAAACAAUGGGAAACUAUGCCAUGUGACGGAUUUAAUCAGGCAAAUCAGGUGGACACGUAAGAUGAAGAUGAUGAUAAGAGGAUGACAGCAACAACUAUGCUGAAGAUGUAGAAGAAGGAUAUUAUGAUGAGGAAGGGGAUGAAAGUGAAGAAGUUGAUGAAGAUGGAGAAGAUGACGACGAACGUUUUGAUGAAAAGUGAACAAAACAAGGUUGAGUUUGUGGUUUGAAUCUGAUAUACUAUUUUUCAUAGAUUAUAUUGCUUGCAGGAACUUUCUGUUAAUUUAUGUACAUGUCUGGCUCAGUUGGAGAAUCAAGUGCUCGUUAACUUCAGAAAGAACUACUUUGUAACAUUCUGUUACAUAAGUGUUUGAUGAUCGAACUAGUACAGAUUGUGCAAUUUCAGUAA